GAGCAGACUAUGGAAGGGCUGGUCAAGAUCAGUCAAGGACAUAGAUGACUCACCUCGUCUAUCUUUUUGGAAGAGUAGAGGGCAUGGCUGUUAGUUCAAACAGAGGUAGAGUUGGCAGAAAAGGCCCAUACAAGGAUGCCCCAUGACAGACUGUCAGUCUGGUGAGGUUACUGACAUACCAUUGUACAAGGGGCAAGGACAUCAGGACUCAUACCGUCCAUGACAGCAGCAGCAUCUUUCCCCACUCUUUAUUCGCCAGAGACCUCCUUGGCUUGUCCCGGAAUAUAGCACCCCCUUGGAAGUGAUGUAGGCCUUUCAAAACCAAUUCUAGAAAAGCGCAUUCUCUCUGCUUACCCUUCCUCAUGGCGAGGCAGGCAGUCAAAUCCAGCUGUUGAAUAACUAGCACACGAAGGGUAAAAAUUCUCAAAUGGUGGGUAAAAACUCCAACUCAGUUGUGUUUUCCCACCGAAGAGAACCCCUUGGAAAUCAAGACUGAAAUGUAUGUCACAAUAACACAUUUGCUGCUUCCUUUGCUGCUUCUCUUCCGGAUGUUUGUGAAUUUUUGUUUCACCCGGACGAGGCCGGCUUGCGAGGGAAAGGUGAUGCCGUUCGUCCACUAGGGGGAGACUUGCCCACACUUAUAACCACUCCUUGGGGCGGCCUGCCCCUGGCUUUAGAUAAGAAUUGGAACUUGAUUACCGCAGCAGCUCAUUUACUCCGUUUCCUUGGCUGAGCGAGGCAUUUGAGUUUGAUUAACAAGAUUUUCUACUUGACGUUCAACUCUCAUUUUCCGAAGCGCUGAGGACGGCACUUCCGUCCCUCUCCAUCACCUCUGCCAACUUACGCCUCCGCCUCCGGGCCUCGGAGCCGCCUUGGCAAUGGCCAGUCCUGCGAUUGGUUCCCAGCGGUGAAGGAGCUACUGACUCCGACCUUGUCUGAAGGUUACUUCUCAAGUUCGUGCAUUUUCUCAGCGAUGUGCAUUCAAAUUAGGUAUGGAAUUGUGUGUCUUCUAUCAAGAUUUGCAACACUCAUAAACACACACACACACCCUUCGCUGAGUUUCAUUUUUCUGACUUUGGAAAUCAUUUGAAUCAGAAGAGUUUUCUUUGUUAAACCGGAAGGUGGAGGGCCUGAGUGUCACAUAACGUGCCCACCCUUCUUACUCCUCCUUGAAUUUGAAUUUGUAGUGGGCCUAUGCAGUUGAAGAAUAGUCAGGGAGCUCAGCUAUAGAUCUUUAUUUUCUUUUAUUACCCUUAACACGUACUAUUUGAUUCAGAAGAGGGACGACCAUCCUUACCUGCCACUAUUCUCCAUAUCUGGGGACAC
RNAcentral lists this long non-coding RNA (1326 nucleotides) under Felis catus (domestic cat). RNAcentral describes it as "lncRNA (ENSFCAG00000041086.2)". The record is from RNAcentral. Lineage: Eukaryota; Metazoa; Chordata; Mammalia; Carnivora; Felidae.